CGUGCUCGCUUAGGCGCACAAUAUACUAAAAUUAGAACCAUACAGAGAGGAUUGGCAUGGUGCCUGUGCAAAGGUCACACACAAAUUUGUGAAGCAGUCCAUGUUUUU
Small nuclear RNA from Ochotona princeps (American pika), 108 nucleotides. Lineage: Eukaryota; Metazoa; Chordata; Mammalia; Lagomorpha; Ochotonidae. The record is from RefSeq and is a predicted model, not a curated record.